Haliaeetus leucocephalus (bald eagle) is the source of this 307-nucleotide long non-coding RNA. RefSeq lists it as uncharacterized. The record is from RefSeq and is a predicted model, not a curated record. Lineage: Eukaryota; Metazoa; Chordata; Aves; Accipitriformes; Accipitridae. The transcript has 3 exons.
ACAUCGACGAGGUGGGGGGCAGUGGGGAGCCAGGCGGGGCCGGGGGGGGCGACGAGGUGGACGACCUGGAUGCCGCCCUCAGCAACCUGGAGGUGAAACUAGGGGGGGCGUCCGAGCCCCCUGGCCCACUGGAGGAGCUCACCACCGUCCCUGAGCUGGCUGAGGAGCUGGAGAUCUACAGACCCCGCAAGCUGACCCUGCGGGGGUUUCGCCCCACCUGGGCCGUGCUGAAGGAGACGUCGCUCUCAUAUGGCCGCAGCCCCCCAGUCCCGGGGGAGCCCCUGCAGCAGCUCAACCUCAGGGGUGA